RNAcentral lists this ribosomal RNA (497 nucleotides) under uncultured bacterium. RNAcentral's name for it is "partial 16S ribosomal RNA". It matches the Rfam family "Bacterial small subunit ribosomal RNA", at positions 28 to 507 of the family's 1533-position model. The record is from RNAcentral.
GAUGAACGCUGGCGGCGUGCCUAAUACAUGCAAGUCGAGCGAACAGACGAGGAGCUUGCUCCUCUGACGUUAGCGGCGGACGGGUGAGUAACACGUGGAUAACCUACCUAUAAGACUGGGAUAACUUCGGGAAACCGGAGCUAAUACCGGAUAAUAUAUUGAACCGUAUGGUUUAAUAGUGAAAGACGGAUUUGCUGUCACUUAUAGAUGGAUCCGCGCCGCAUUAGCUAGUUGGUAAGGUAACGGCUAACCAAGGCAACGAUGCGUAGCCGACCUGGGAGGGUGUUCGGCCACACGGGAACUGAGACACGGUCCAGACUCCUACGGGAGGCAGCAGUAGGGAAUCUUCCGCAAUGGGCGAAGGCCUGACGGAGCAACGCCGCGUGAGUGAUGAAGGUCUUCGGAUCGUAAAACUCUGUUAUUAGGGAAGAACAAAUGUGUAAGUAACUAUGCACGUCGUGACGGUACCUAAUCAGAAAGCCACGGCUAACUACGUG